CCUACGGGAGGCAGCAGUGAGGAAUAUUGGUCAAUGGCCGGAAGGCUGAACCAGCCAUGCCGCGUGAAGGUCAGUGCCCUAUGGGCGUUAAACUUCUUUUGUGCGGGAGCAAUAAUGGUCACGUGUGGCCAGACGAGAGUACCGUACGAAUAAGCAUCGGCUAACUCCGUGCCAGCAGCCGCGGUAAUACGGGGGAUGCAAGCGUUAUCCGGAUUUAUUGGGGUAAAAGGGUGCGUAGGGUGUGAGGUAAGUCAGCGGUGAAAUGCCCCCGCUCAACGGGGUGAAGUGCCAUUGAUACUGCCUUGCUGGAAUGCGGAUGCCGUGGGAGGAAUGUGUGGUGUAGCGGUGAAAUGCAUAGAUAUCACACAGAACACCGAUUGCGAAGGCAUCUCACGAAUCCGCGAUUGACGCUGAUGCACGAAAGCGUGGGUAUCAAACAGGAUUAGAUACCCUUGUAGUC
This 460-nucleotide ribosomal RNA is filed under the name uncultured bacterium. Its description in RNAcentral is "partial 16S ribosomal RNA". It matches the Rfam family "Bacterial small subunit ribosomal RNA", at positions 338 to 795 of the family's 1533-position model. The record is from RNAcentral.